GGAUGUGAGGGCGAUCUGGCUGUGACAUCUGUCAUCCCAUUGAUCGCCAGCGUUGGUUGAGCUGAUCUGGCUGGUUAGGCGGGUGUCCCCUUUCUCCCUUGCUGCUCCAUGUGGUUGGUGGAAGAGGACGACCUUCCCCGAAUAGAGAAGGACUGGUCUUCGGUCAGGGGUACACGAGUAGCUGCGCCCCCCUGCUAGAGCCCCCAAACAAGCUCUCAAGGUCCAUUUGCAGGAGAACGUAGGCUAGUCAAGCUUCCAGGACUCCAGACGCAUCCAAAUGAGGCACUGCAUGUAGCAGUCUGCCUUUGUUU
Molecule: small nuclear RNA, 311 nt
Filed under: Jaculus jaculus (lesser Egyptian jerboa)
Lineage: Eukaryota; Metazoa; Chordata; Mammalia; Rodentia; Dipodidae
Description: 7SK RNA (ENSJJAG00000007846.1)
Rfam family: 7SK RNA
About the family: 7SK was discovered as an abundant small nuclear RNA in the mid-70s but a possible function has only recently been suggested. Two independent studies have found that 7SK RNA binds the CDK9/cyclin T complex (known as elongation factor P-TEFb).
Source: Rfam by way of RNAcentral